AGCGAACGCUGGCGGCAGGCCUAACACAUGCAAGUCGAGCGGCCGUAGCAAUACGGCAGCGGCAGACGGGAGAGUAACACGUGGGAACGUACCCUUCAGUUCGGAACAACCCAGGGAAACUUGGGCUAAUACCGAAUACGUCCGUAAGGAGAAAGAUUUAUCGCUGAAGGAUCGGCCCGCGUCUGAUUAGCUAGUUGGUGAGGUAACGGCUCACCAAGGCGACGAUCAGUAGCUGGUCUGAGAGGAUGAUCAGCCUCACUGGGACUGAGACACGGCCCAGACUCCUACGGGAGGCAGCAGUGGGGAAUAUUGGACAAUGGGCGCAAGCCUGAUCCAGCCAUGCCGCGUGGAUGAUGAAGGCCUUAGGGUUGUAAAGUCCUUUUAACGGGGAAGAUAAUGACGGUACCCGUAGAAUAAGCCCCGGCUAACUUCGUGCCAGCCGCCGCCGUAA
RNAcentral lists this ribosomal RNA (451 nucleotides) under uncultured bacterium. Its description in RNAcentral is "partial 16S ribosomal RNA". It matches the Rfam family "Bacterial small subunit ribosomal RNA", at positions 29 to 523 of the family's 1533-position model. The record is from RNAcentral.